CCUACGGGAUGCAGCAGUGGGGAAUAUUGCACAAUGGGGGAAACCCUGAUGCAGCGCCGCCGCGUGCGUGAAGAAGUAAUUCGUUAUGUAAAGCUCUAUCAGCAGGGAAGACAAUGACGGUACCUGAGUAAGAAGCCCCGGCUAACUACGUGCCAGCAGCCGCGGUAAUACGUAGGGGGCAAGCGUUAUCCGGAUUUACUGGGUGGAAAGGGAGCGUAGACGGCAGGGCAAGUCUGGAGUGAAAGGCGGGGGCUCAACCCCCGGACUGCUCUGGAAACUGUACGGCUGGAGUGCAGGAGAGGUAAGUGGAAUUCCUAGUGUAGCGGUGAAAUGCGUAGAUAUUAGGAGGAACACCAGUGGCGAAGGCGGCUUACUGGACUGUAACUGACGUUGAGGCUCGAAAGCGUGGGGAGCAAACAGGAUUAGAUACCCGUGUAGUC
RNAcentral lists this ribosomal RNA (440 nucleotides) under uncultured bacterium. RNAcentral's name for it is "partial 16S ribosomal RNA". It matches the Rfam family "Bacterial small subunit ribosomal RNA", at positions 338 to 795 of the family's 1533-position model. The record is from RNAcentral.